RNAcentral lists this long non-coding RNA (762 nucleotides) under Mus musculus (house mouse). Its description in RNAcentral is "predicted gene 15996". The record is from RNAcentral. Lineage: Eukaryota; Metazoa; Chordata; Mammalia; Rodentia; Muridae.
CAAGACAGAGUUUCUCAGGGCAGCGCUGGCUGUCCUGGAACUCACUCUGUAGACCAGGCUGGCUUCACACUCAUAGCUCACCUGCCUCUGCCUCCCGAGUGAUGCCACCAGCAGCAAGCCCGAGUGUCCCUUUGUGUGCUCACCUUUGACUACCUUUGGCACCGGGCAGGGAAGCUUUUCCACACGAGCCGUACAUACAGAAGAGACCAGAGCUUGCUUUCUUGAGUGCUCACACAGAUGUGUGUGUGUGUAUGUGGGUGUGCUAGGUGAACCGUACAGAUGUGGGUGUGCUAGGUGAACUGUACAGAUGUGGGUGUGCUAGGUGAACCGUACAGAUGUGGGUGUGCUAAGUGAACCGUACAGAUGUGGGUGUGCUAGGUGAACCGUACAGAUGUGGGUGUGCUAGGUGAACCGUACAGAUGUGGGUGUGCUAGGUGAACCGUACAGAUGUGGGUGUGCUAGGUGAACCGUACAGAUGUGGGUGUGCUAGGUGAACCGUACAGAUGUGGGUGUGCUAGGUGAACCGUACAGAUGUGGGUGUGCUAGGUGAACCGUACAGAUGUGGGUGUGCUAGGUGAACUGUACAGAUGUGGGUGUGCUAGGUGAACCGUACAGAUGUGGGUGUGCUAAGUGAACCAUACAGAUGUGGGUGUGCUAGGUGAACUGUACAGAUGUGGGUGUGCUAAGUGAACCAUACAGAUGUGGGUGUGCUAGGUGACCUCAGGGCAGGCGUGAGCGCUUACCGGUUAUAGCGCAUGUGCU